GGGUUCAGAGAUUCCUUCUCUGGAGGAGUAAGUCAGAUGGCCGGGCCGCCACUG
This 54-nucleotide non-coding RNA is filed under the name unclassified sequences. RNAcentral's name for it is "Li+-I sequence". It matches the Rfam family "nhaA-I RNA". Rfam says of the family: Acidobacteria, Alphaproteobacteria, Betaproteobacteria and Gammaproteobacteria, Verrucomicrobia, cand. division NC10. The record is from Rfam by way of RNAcentral.